GCGCCGCCACAUCGUCGUCCUUGCCACCGUAUGUUGCAGGCUUCUCGUCGGCGGCAGCGGCCGAGGAGGGCGGCGACCCGCUGCUGCUCACGCUUGGGCAGGGCCAGGCUGCGCCGUCCCCAAUGGCGGCCGGGCUGCUGCUGUCCCCGGGCUUCAUCUUCUCCUCCAACACCAUGCCCGCUCACCACGUUCUGGUUCCGAAGCUUUGAGUUUGCCGUAUAGCGUGUCUUCAGACUACUAGGAUUGAUAUGGGCAAAAUUUGCCACAAGACACCGUUAAAAAGGACACUACAUGAAUUAUUCUAUCCGAUUUAAUUCAAGAGCCACGGGAAAUGACUAGUUUGCCCCUACUACCUUAUCUUCUCCCGCAUGCCAUUUUCUUUCUCCAGAAACUAUCGCAUCGCAGAGAAGUUUGCGAACGGAGCUAGCGGCGCCGAUUCCUCCAGCGCGCAGCCCCUCCCCGAUGACGGCCGCGCGUGGUAGGGGCCCUUUGCGACAAGCCUUCCCCGGUGUGCAUCUCACCGCCACAUCGCCGAGCUCGAGCAGCAGCAGCUAGCCGCCGCCGCGGCGCCCCGACCGCAAGGCCGCACGCGUGAGCUAGCGUGCCGCCGCGAGGACGAGUGGCUCCGCUGGAGCGCGAGGCCGGGGCAGCCAAGAAGCGGCAGGCGCGCACAGCCGACGAGGAUGGCCACCCCGAGGCCCCGUGCGGAGCGCCGCUGAAGCCUGAAGGUCUCCAGACAAUUCACUAAACCAGGUACACGCCGAAACCCAAGGUUCACAGUCGGCUCCCUAGAUCUCCAUUUACUAAAGAUCCCAGCCACCAUUUCACAAUGACUAAUCAAGAGCUUUCAUAGUGAUUUGAGCACUGAAAAUGGCCUGCGGGAGAAGACAAGGCAGCAGGGCAAAUUAGUCAUAUCCCGUGGCUCUUCUAUUAAAUCGGAUAGAAUAAUAGAUGUAGUGUCCUGUGGCAAAUGUACAUGAUUUAUCAGUGUCUCUCAGCCGUAGCCGUGACAAGUUUUUUUAAUGGUUCACAGCAAAGAUCACCUUUUAACGAUGUCCUGUGGCAAAUGUUGCCAUUGAUAUGUGAUCUGGAGCUAACUGAAAUGCUCUGCAUAGAGUGUAAAUCAUUGUAACUAGAAAGGCUGGCGCGGCUUUGCCGUGCCGGUCGUGGAGGUGGCCAGUUGUCUUGGCCGAUACGUUUGUAAAUUUAAUGCACCAAUCUGAGACUAUAUGAGCUCUUGAUUUUGAUUUUGA
Molecule: long non-coding RNA, 1253 nt
Organism: Panicum virgatum (switchgrass)
Lineage: Eukaryota; Viridiplantae; Streptophyta; Magnoliopsida; Poales; Poaceae
Exons: 2
Source: RefSeq, a predicted model, not a curated record